This 774-nucleotide ribosomal RNA is filed under the name uncultured Neocallimastigales. RNAcentral describes it as "partial large subunit ribosomal RNA". It matches the Rfam family "Eukaryotic large subunit ribosomal RNA", at positions 23 to 647 of the family's 3401-position model. The record is from RNAcentral. Lineage: Eukaryota; Fungi; Neocallimastigomycota; Neocallimastigomycetes; Neocallimastigales.
AGAGAGAGACAUGCGCGCAUAUCAAUAAGCGGAGGAAAAGAAACUAACAAGGAUUCCCCUAGUAACGGCGAGUGAAGCGGGAAGAGCUCAAAUUUGAAAUCUUAAAGGGUUUCCCUUUACGAAUUGUAGUUUAAAGAAGUGUUUUCUGUUGAGGUUUUGGUAAAAGUUCUUUGGAAUAGGACAUCAUAGAGGGUGAGAAUCCCGUAUUUGACCUUUACUUUCAACUUUGUGAUACACUUUCAAAGAGUCGGAUUGUUUGGGAAUGCAGUCCAAAAUGGGUGGUAAAUUUCAUCUAAAGCUAAAUAUUGGCGAGAGACCGAUAGCGAACAAGUACCGUGAGGGAAAGAUGAAAAGAACUUUGAAAAGAGAGUUAAACAGUACGUGAAAUUGUCAAAAGGGAAGCGUUUGACACCAGUGUUGUUUUUCUGAAAAUCAAUUAAAGAACUGUUUAUGCUAAGCUGUUUAGACUUUAUCAGCUAGCUGUUUAGUUUUGAGCUUUUCUUUAAUGCACUUUUCAGUUAACAAGUCAACAUCAAUUUCUUUUGCUGUAAAAAAGCUUGAGGAAGGUGGCUUGAGAUUCGUCUUAAGUGUUUAUAGCCUCUUGCCUAUGCAGUCGGAGAGAUUGAGGUCUGCAGCGUAGAUCCUUCGGGGCUAAAUGCAUUUGUGCUAAGUUAUAGCAUUUUAUAGACAACUUGUUGACUAUGAUUUGUCUUGUAGCUUACUCGCUUAUGUUAUUUUACCUACGCUUAGGAUGUUGACGCAUGAGAUAUACGC